RNAcentral lists this ribosomal RNA (301 nucleotides) under uncultured bacterium. RNAcentral's name for it is "partial 16S ribosomal RNA". It matches the Rfam family "Bacterial small subunit ribosomal RNA", at positions 509 to 808 of the family's 1533-position model. The record is from RNAcentral.
CAGUCGCCGCGGGAAUACGAAGGGGGCUAGCGUUGUUCGGAUUUACUGGGCGUAAAGGGCGCGUAGGCGGACUGAUAAGUCAGGGGUGAAAUCCCAAGGCUCAACCUUGGAACUGCCUUUGAUACUGUUUGUCUUGAGUUCGAGAGAGGUAAGUGGAACUGCGAGUGUAGAGGUGAAAUUCGUAGAUAUUCGCAAGAACACCAGUGGCGAAGGCGGCUUACUGGCUCGAAACUGACGCUGAGGCGCGAAAGCGUGGGGAGCAAACAGGAUUAGAUACCCCGUAGUCCCUGUCUCUUAUACA